RNAcentral lists this ribosomal RNA (330 nucleotides) under Trianchoratus sp. HS-2010. RNAcentral describes it as "eukaryotic LSU rRNA". It matches the Rfam family "Eukaryotic large subunit ribosomal RNA", at positions 23 to 318 of the family's 3401-position model. Lineage: Eukaryota; Metazoa; Platyhelminthes; Monogenea; Dactylogyridea; Ancyrocephalidae. The record is from RNAcentral.
ACCCGCUGAAUUUAAGCAUAUCAGUAAGCGGAGGAAAAGAAACUAACCAGGAUUCUCCCAGUAACGGCGAGUGAACGGAGAUUAGCCCAUCACCGAAGCCCAUUCGUGUUUGCGAACAGGGCCAUGUGGUGUUAGGGUGUGUGCCUGGGGCUGCUGACCUAUUUGAAGUCCGACUUCGAUCACGGCUUGGAUGUGUCCCAUAGCGGGUGAAAGGCCCGUUCGGAUAGGUUCUGGCAUGCAGCGGCCCUCAGAUGCGCAUACCUACGAGUCGGAUUUUUUGAGAGGGCAAACCCGUAGUAAAUAAUACCCCCUGAAAUUAAUGCAAGGUGA